RNAcentral lists this long non-coding RNA (5193 nucleotides) under Lynx pardinus (Iberian lynx). Lineage: Eukaryota; Metazoa; Chordata; Mammalia; Carnivora; Felidae. The record is from RNAcentral.
AGGAGGCCCCUGGUGGGGAAGGGGCGAAUUAGAGGGGGGAGGGUGUCUCCUAGGUACGUGGAUGUGGAAAACUAAGGUGUCAGUGGGGAGUGGGGACCCACCAUUGGGGACCCGUCAUCCGAGUGAUAAAGGGUCAAGGAGUAAGUAGGCUGGGGGGGGGGGGGUUGGGGAAGGGAAUGAGUGAGGGGUAAGGGGUCGCGAGGAAAAAAUCCAAGGCCUCGCAUACAAGUGGAAAGGACGCGCGCCGCAGCCCCGGAGCCGCCUGUCGCUCGCCCCCGCCUUCCCUUUUGCGCAGAAUCCUCCCCUUGGCUGCAGCAGCGCGCUGCCCCCACCGGCCCGGCGCGCCGUGAUCGAUCGCAGGCUGCGUCAGAAUGCUCCCCGCGUAUAAAUAGGGGUGGCAGGACCGCGCCGAGCCGCACACAGCCAUCCACCUUCCCCUCUCCCACUCCCUCUCUCCCCGUUCUUCUCUCUGUAGGCCCCCAUCUCCGCCGCCGGCCGGAGGGGCUCCGACCGCCACCAUGAGUUCCUUCAGCUAUGAGCCGUACUACUCGACCUCCUACAAGCGGCGCUACGUGGAGACGCCCCGGGUGCACAUCUCCAGCGUGCGCAGCGGCUACAGCACCGCGCGCUCCGCUUACUCCAGCUACUCUGCGCCGGUCUCCUCCUCGCUGUCCGUGCGCCGCAGCUACUCGUCCAGCUCCGGCUCCUUGAUGCCCAGUCUCGAGAACCUCGACCUGAGCCAGGUAGCCGCCAUCAGCAACGACCUCAAGUCCAUCCGCACCCAGGAGAAGGCGCAGCUGCAGGACCUCAACGACCGCUUCGCCAGCUUCAUCGAGCGCGUGCACGAGCUGGAGCAGCAGAACAAGGUGCUGGAAGCCGAGCUGCUGGUGCUGCGCCAGAAGCACUCCGAGCCCUCCCGCUUCCGGGCGCUGUACGAGCAGGAGAUCCGCGACCUGCGCCUGGCGGCGGAAGACGCCACCAACGAGAAGCAGGCGCUCCAGGGCGAGCGCGAAGGGCUGGAGGAGACUUUGCGCAACCUGCAGGCGCGCUAUGAAGAGGAGGUGCUGAGCCGCGAGGACGCCGAGGGCCGGCUGAUGGAAGCGCGCAAAGGAGCCGACGAGGCCGCGCUCGCCCNCCGGGGGGCCCCCCCCCCCCCGCGCCGAGCUCGAAAAGCGCAUCGACAGCCUGAUGGACGAAAUCGCCUUCCUGAAGAAAGUGCACGAAGAGGAGAUCGCCGAGCUGCAGGCGCAGAUCCAGUACGCGCAGAUCUCCGUGGAGAUGGACGUGUCCUCCAAGCCCGACCUCUCCGCCGCGCUCAAGGACAUCCGCGCUCAGUACGAGAAGCUGGCCGCCAAGAACAUGCAGAACGCCGAAGAGUGGUUCAAGAGCCGCUUCACGGUGCUGACCGAGAGCGCCGCCAAGAACACCGACGCGGUGCGCGCCGCCAAGGACGAAGUGUCCGAGAGCCGCCGCCUGCUCAAGGCCAAGACCCUGGAGAUCGAAGCAUGCCGGGGCAUGAACGAAGCGCUGGAGAAGCAGCUGCAGGAGCUGGAGGACAAGCAGAACGCCGACAUUAGUGCUAUGCAGGUACCGCACCGUGCAAAACACGGUGGGGGCGGGGAGGGAGCUGCAGGAGCAAGUUGUGGGGGUGGGUGGGGGGAGGGUGGAGAGUCGAGGGCGCGCCCAGGAAGUGGAGGCCAGGGAGGGGGCGUCCGCUAGCAGCCAGUGGGGAGCAGAACUUGACUCCCUGGAGACUGUGUGGGAGGGGUGGGGCAUUUGGAGGGCGGGGGCGGGGGUGCGACUGCAGUCUGAGGGGACGGGUUCGGUGCAGUUGAAUUUACUCCGCAUUAAAGCUGCCCCGCCCUGCGAGGGUAGGGUGGGGUGGGUGCAGGGGUGGAUCUGGGCGUUGCCUCUGGCCUGCCUCUCUACUGUCUUUCAUCAACCACGAGUCGCUUUGCGGCACAGAUUGGACCAUCUGCUUACCAAAUUCGGCAGGGAGCUCUCAUUAGUUCCGAAGGAUACCUGUGCCCAACCAUGCUUUAGGGACUGGUUUUAUCAACCACUCCUUUCCCUCAGGUAGACAGGAAUGCAGUCCAAACUGUAGUAGGUAAUGAUGUUCGCAGUAAAACAUUUCUUUUCUUUUUUUAAAGGAUUUUCCUUUUCUGGGAAGGAGAAAAAGUAAUGUCAACCCCCAGAAAAUAUUUCAGAUGAAAUUAGUAUUGUUUCUUAUCUAGCUGCUUCCUACUCGUGUGAAGAAAUGGAGUAAUUUCUUGCACGUGAUUUUGGAGUCAAGUUGACUAAUGAAUGUGAAACAAAGUUUUUUAAAUCAAUGAAAAAUAUUUUUGCAGGCAUUGUACGGUGAUCAUUAGACUGUGGUAAUGAAAAGAAAACCAAGAAUUUUUCUCCCAUCAGAUGAAAAAACAAAUUUCUUUUUGUUUUCAUUUCAUGCUUCCUGAAGCGAGAUUUGUUUGCUUGUUUGUUUUUCUAAUCCAAGUAAGGAAAGGUUAAACAAGAGAAAAGGCAGUUCUUUUAGGGGGGAUUUUUAUCUGAGGCGUGCACUUGGGUUGUAAGUAGGUUAGGCCUUUGCAGCCAUACUGCAGUAAAAUGAUAGCAGUCGGAUUUAUGCUCAGAUUCCCCCCCACUCCCCAUCCUCCACCAGGACACAAUCAACAAAUUAGAAAAUGAAUUGAGAACCACAAAGAGCGAAAUGGCCCGAUACCUUAAAGAAUACCAAGACCUCCUCAACGUGAAGAUGGCUUUGGACAUUGAGAUUGCAGCUUACAGGUAAAAACAAGGGUGGGGUGGUAGGAGCCGUUCAGCUUUAGGAAGAAAAUCAUAUUUCAUUCACAUUGAGUCAGAAACCUUCAAGACUAGUCCUUUGAAAUAGACGUUUGCUUUCUGGCUUUUUCCAAGAAGAAGGUGAUUAUUAGACAAACAUGGAAGAAUUUGACCCUGGGAUCGUGAGUUCUGCUCUUGGUGUCUCAUUACACUUUAAAUCGAAGAGACAGGACUGUUUUCAGUUUGUUUGUCAUUUGUGUGUUUGCUUGUUUUUCUGCUUUUUUUUUCUUCUUCCUGGUGUCGGGCACAACAUCCCCAGACAUGAGGUUUCCAUAAUUCCCAGCCCUGCUCCUGCUCCCCUUUGCCUUUAAGGGUGGCAUUAGGGGAAGAGGGGUCGUGGUGGGCUCAGAUAGGGCAAGUAAUUCACCACACUUCCUGUGUUCUUGUUCAUUAACCCCAUCCUCCCGUGCCUUCCCAGGAAACUCUUGGAAGGUGAGGAGACCCGGCUCAGUUUCACCAGCGUGGGAAGCAUCACCAGCGGCUAUUCCCAGAGCUCUCAGGUCUUUGGCCGAUCUGCCUACGGCGGUUUACAGACCAGCUCCUACCUGAUGUCUGCGCGCUCCUUCCCGUCUUACUACACCAGCCACGUCCAAGAGGAGCAGAUCGAGGUGGAGGAGACCAUUGAGGCUGCAAAGGCCGAGGAAGCCAAGGACGAACCCCCCUCUGAAGGAGAAGCUGAGGAGGAGGAGAAGGAGAAGGAGGAGGCUGAGGAGGAGGAAGGAGCCGAAGAGGAAGAAGGUAUGAUAAAAAAGAAAUCCCCACAACUUCCAGAACAGUCAGGGCGUGGAUAUUUGCCAGGAGAUGGGUAAGGGGAAGUGAAGCCGCCCUUAUGCCGAGAAGUCUUAUUCAUAUAUAUAUGACUUUAGAAUCUUAAAUGAUCCCUUUUAUCUAGUUAUCCGGCAAGCCCCGGAGUAAGUGUCUGAUUUCUCAAAUUGGUUGCCCUCUCAGCGGUACGCGUCUCCCUCCGCCCAGCUUGGGAGUUUGUUGAGAAUAGCAUUUCAAAAUACCCUCCUCCUGCUGUCCCUUCAUUCCCCGUGAACAUUUCAGCAGUCUGUUUAACCCGGCGGUUGGGUGGCCGAGAGAACGGAAGUAGUUUUUUUAAAUAAGCGUUUGCCUUUUGGCUUCUUCGAAGAAGAAGGUAUUAGUGGCCAGUGUUCAGCACGGUCCGUUGUGUGUGUUUGGGGAGGUGGACCUGAGAGAUUUGGGGGAGGGCGUUCUGACAUUCGGGUUUUCACACAGAACCUUAGCAGAAAGGCGUGGACCGACGUACCCCGGAUUUGGAGUUUGUAAACUUUCUCUUUAUGUUAAAGCUGCCAAGGAAGAAUCCGAGGAGGCCAAGGAGGAAGAAGAAGGAGGCGAAGACGAAGGAGAAGAAACCAAAGAAGCUGAGGAGGAGGAGAAGAAAGACGGAGGUGCUGGGGAGGAACAAGCCACUAAAAAGAAAGAUUGAGCCCCUCUUUCCUUAAUUGUUCCAGGAAGAAUUCUCCCGAAAUCAGGUCAACCCCAUCGCCGACCAACCAGUUGAGUUCCAGAUAUUAUAUGAAUUAAGAAGUCAAUAUAUGUAUAAUUCUGAGAUGACUUAGGUUGGACUUUAAAUGUUGUGCUAUGACUUUUUUCCUUAUGCAGAGUAUCCGUUUGCUUGCAGAGUGGCUUCCUGGCUCGCUGCCAGCCUGUGCAUGGUCCACGCUUAUGAGUUCAGGAUCUAUGGCAAUGUGAAUAAUUCAGAUGUUUACAAUAAAAAACACACACACACAUGAAUAAAUGAAUUCACUAAUGUUAAUGUUAAACUUCAUGGUAAAAAUAGCCCUUUGAGCCUUUGGUGGUUAGAAAUUAAAGACCUCGAAUUAUGUGCAAUAAAUAGUAAAUAAAGUUACACUGAAUGUCAUUUCUUGCUGUGGUUGUUGACUUACUUAAAAUAUCUUAAAGAAGGCACCAGUCGAAGGCAUAUACAAGUGGACUGUCGACCUCCAAAUUUUUACGAUGUCCAAAUUUUAACAAUUACAAUGCAUUCCCCCCCCGAUUGGUAACUCUGAGGGAUACAUUUAGGACAUGACCGUUCAUGAAAUCUCUCCCCUGGAAAAUUUUGCUGGUAAUGAACUUGAGUAAAUGAGAAUUUCUGGGGUCUUUCUUUCAUAAUUAGCAAUAUACUUUGCCCCGUAAAAUGUACUGUGUAACGUUGGGAAUGGUUUUCUUGGAGGCAAUGGUGUAAUAUGAUAAAAACACCUUUUGGGGUAAAUAGGUAACUUAAUAAUAUGAUAUGGAUAGAAGAUGAAUCCCACCCAUCCAUUAUUAUAACCGCAUUAUUUUGAUAUAGUCUGAAUAUUAUGAGCAGAAGUUGAAACCCAAGCAGUUGAU